This 468-nucleotide ribosomal RNA is filed under the name uncultured bacterium. RNAcentral's name for it is "partial 16S ribosomal RNA". It matches the Rfam family "Bacterial small subunit ribosomal RNA", at positions 28 to 507 of the family's 1533-position model. The record is from RNAcentral.
GACGAACGCUGGCGGUGUGCUUAACACAUGCAAGUCGAACGGUAAGGCCCUUUCGGGGGUACACGAGUGGCGAACGGGUGAGUAACACGUGAGUAACCUGCCCUCAUCUCUGGGAUAACAGUCGGAAACGGUUGCUAAUACUGGAUAUGAGCUUGCAAGGCAUCUUGUGGGUUGGAAAGAUUUUUUUUGGUUGGGGAUGGACUCGCGGCCUAUCAGCUUGUUGGUGAGGUAGUGGCUCACCAAGGCUUCGACGGGUAGCCGGCCUGGGAGGGCGACCGGCCACAUUGGGACUGAGAUACGGCCCAAACUCCGACGGGAGGCAGCAGUGGGGAAUAUUGCACAAUGGACGGAAGUCUGAUGCAGCAACGCCGCGUGCGGGAUGACGGCCUUCGGGUUGUAAACCGCUUUCAAUUGUGACGAAGCUUUUUUGUGACGGUAGCAGUAGAAGAAGCACCGGCUAACUACGUG